This 273-nucleotide ribosomal RNA is filed under the name uncultured bacterium. RNAcentral describes it as "partial 16S ribosomal RNA". It matches the Rfam family "Bacterial small subunit ribosomal RNA", at positions 524 to 796 of the family's 1533-position model. The record is from RNAcentral.
UACGUAGGGUGCAAGCGUUGUCCGGAAUUAUUGGGCGUAAAGAGCUCGUAGGCGGUCUGUCGCGUCGGCUGUGAAAACCCUCGGCUCAACCGGGGGCCUGCAGUCGAUACGGGCAGACUAGAGUGCUGUAGGGGAGACUGGAAUUCCUGGUGUAGCGGUGAAAUGCGCAGAUAUCAGGAGGAACACCGGUGGCGAAGGCGGGUCUCUGGGCAGUAACUGACGCUGAGGAGCGAAAGCGUGGGGAGCGAACAGGAUUAGAAACCCCAGUAGUCC